Molecule: non-coding RNA, 601 nt
Organism: Callorhinus ursinus (northern fur seal)
Lineage: Eukaryota; Metazoa; Chordata; Mammalia; Carnivora; Otariidae
Source: RefSeq, a predicted model, not a curated record
GAGCCUGAGCUUCACUACUUCAAUGGACGAGGCAGAAUGGAGUCCAUCGGGUGGCUCCUGGCUGCAGCUGGAGUAGAGAGACAGAAGUCUGAUGUUCCAGCAAGUACCAAUGGUGGACAUCGAAGGAAUGACACUGGUGCGGACCAGACCAGAACCAUUCUCAAGUACAUGGCCCCCAAAUACAACCUCUACAGGAGAGACCUAAAAGAGAGAGCCCUGAUAGAUAUGUACACAGAAGGUAUGGCAGAUUUGAAUGAAAUGAUCAUUGUUUUGCCUCUAUGCCCACCUGAUCAAAAAGAUGCCAAGAUUGCCCUGAUCAAAGAGAGAACGACAGAUUGUUAUCUCCCCAUGUUUGAGAAAGUGUUAAAGAGCCAUGGACAAGACUACCUUGUUGGCAACAUGCUGAGCAGGGCUGACAUUCACCUGGUGGAACUUCUCUACUAUGUGGAAGAGCUUGACCCCAGCCUUCUGGCCAACUUCCCUCUGCUGAAGAAUCAGCAAUCUCCCCACCAUGAAGAAGUUUCUGUAGCCUGGCAGCCCGAGGAAGCCUCCCAUUGAUGAGAAAAGUUUAGAACAAGCCAAGAUUUUCAGGAUUAAAUGA